ACCCUCUGCUCAGCCAGCUUCUGGUUCAGCUCGUCCAGCUGGAUGGUGGCCUCCUUCAGCUUGUCCAGCCCGCCCUCCAGGCGCUUGCACUGAGCUGAGGACAGACGGCACCCGUUCACUGUCCCCACGCCUGCUCCCUGUGGCCCAGGCUUGCCUUCUGUGGCCUCCCUGAGGUUCAUCCAACUUGGGUUCAUCAGGGGGAACCAUUCACUUUCACAUAGUGUCACUAUGUUCCAGUCCCUCCUGCACGGGCACGGCAUGGGCCCAAAUGAACUCAGGAAGAGGAGACCUGGAUCCCUACACCUGAGCAUUGCGACAUCAGGCGACCAGCCAUCCCCAAGCCUUACCUAUGUUAAACUGAGUCUUCUCAUCCAGCAACUUCGAAAAGAAAAGAGCAAUUAUAAUGAGUGGGUGGCUCUUCUGGACCACUGAGCCAGGCUCCAGCAACAUGCCUCAAACAGAGAGCCACACCUCUUCCCUGGGCGCCGUGGCAGCACGCAUCGGGGAGCACGCCACACCUGUCCUGCUCGAUGCUCCCCAGGGAGCAACCUCUUGCGGCCAGGUGAGCUACUCAGCCCUUCUCUGCUGGAUACCCAGCGCGCGGACCUACUGGGCAAAAGGCAGCCUUCCUGUCAACCUGCUAGAAGAAUCACUGCAAGAAGCACCCUCUUGAAGACAGAAUACACCUCUCGUUCAAGCAAAGGGAGGAGAGUGGACAAAAACAUCAGCUGUCGGGGUUCUGCAGACCCAACCUUGGGUUAUACCAGGGGUACUGCCUGCAGGAAAGACGCAGCCUGACAAAUAUCCACUUUGGGGCAUAGUCAUCUCGAUACCAGGAAACACAUUCUAAGGAAAAUAAUUCUAAGCAAAUUCUAGGCAGCAUUAUUAAAGACACUGAAUGCUGAAAGCAAGCCCAAGUGAUAACACUUGAGAAUGACUAACACACUUAUGAAAACCAGGGUGCACUACAUCAGGGUGCUCAUCUACAGCCCAGAAGGGAAAUCUGGCCCACACCCCGCUUUUUAAAUAAAGUUUUAUUGGAACACA
Marmota flaviventris (yellow-bellied marmot) is the source of this 1047-nucleotide long non-coding RNA. RefSeq lists it as uncharacterized. The record is from RefSeq and is a predicted model, not a curated record. Lineage: Eukaryota; Metazoa; Chordata; Mammalia; Rodentia; Sciuridae.